GACGACGACGUUGAUAGGCCGGGUGUGUAAGCGCAGCGAUGCGUUGAGCUAACCGGUACUAAUGAACCGUGAGGCUUAACCUUACAACGCCGAAGAUGUUG
RNAcentral lists this ribosomal RNA (101 nucleotides) under Salmonella enterica subsp. enterica serovar Montevideo. RNAcentral describes it as "partial 23S ribosomal RNA". The stretch from base 1 to 83 matches the Rfam family "Bacterial large subunit ribosomal RNA", at positions 2843 to 2925 of the family's 2925-position model. The record is from RNAcentral. Lineage: Bacteria; Pseudomonadati; Pseudomonadota; Gammaproteobacteria; Enterobacterales; Enterobacteriaceae.